This 254-nucleotide ribosomal RNA is filed under the name uncultured Gardnerella sp. RNAcentral describes it as "partial 16S ribosomal RNA". It matches the Rfam family "Bacterial small subunit ribosomal RNA", at positions 101 to 354 of the family's 1533-position model. The record is from RNAcentral. Lineage: Bacteria; Bacillati; Actinomycetota; Actinomycetes; Bifidobacteriales; Bifidobacteriaceae.
AACGGGUGAGUAAUGCGUGACCAACCUGCCCCAUGCUCCAGAAUAGCUCUUGGAAACGGGUGGUAAUGCUGGAUGCUCCAACUUGACGCAUGUCUUGUUGGGAAAGUGUUUAGUGGCAUGGGAUGGGGUCGCGUCCUAUCAGCUUGUAGGCGGGGUAAUGGCCCACCUAGGCUUCGACGGGUAGCCGGCCUGAGAGGGCGGACGGCCACAUUGGGACUGAGACACGGCCCAAACUCCUACGGGAGGCAGCAGGC